RNAcentral lists this ribosomal RNA (492 nucleotides) under uncultured bacterium. RNAcentral describes it as "partial 16S ribosomal RNA". It matches the Rfam family "Bacterial small subunit ribosomal RNA", at positions 29 to 507 of the family's 1533-position model. The record is from RNAcentral.
AGUGAACGCUGGCGGUAGGCCUAACACAUGCAAGUCGAACGGCAGCACAGUAAGGGCUUGCUCUUACGGGUGGCGAGUGGCGGACGGGUGAGGAAUACAUCGGAAUCUACUUUUUCGUGGGGGAUAACGUAGGGAAACUUACGCUAAUACCGCAUACGACCUACGGGUGAAAGCAGGGGAUCUUCGGACCUUGCGCGAUUGAAUGAGCCGAUGUCGGAUUAGCUAGUUGGCGGGGUAAAGGCCCACCAAGGCGACGAUCCGUAGCUGGUCUGAGAGGAUGAUCAGCAACACUGGAACUGAGACACGGUCCAGACUCCUACGGGAGGCAGCAGUGGGGAAUAUUGGACAAUGGGCGCAAGCCUGAUCCAGCCAUACCGCGUGGGUGAAGAAGGCCUUCGGGUUGUAAAGCCCUUUUGUUGGGAAAGAAAAGCAGCAGGUUAAUACCCCGCUGUUCUGACGGUACCCAAAGAAUAAGCACCGGCUAACUUCGUG